UAUAUUCGCAUAUGUAUAUAGCUCUCGCCACGAUGAAGAAUGUAGCGAAAUGCGAUACUUGGUGUGAAUUGCAGAAUCCCGUGAAUCAUUGAGUCUUUGAACGCAACUUGCACCCGAGGUCGUAGGUUGAGGGCACGCCUGCCUGGGUGUCA
RNAcentral lists this ribosomal RNA (152 nucleotides) under Amborella trichopoda. RNAcentral describes it as "rRNA 5_8S_rRNA". The stretch from base 21 to 152 matches the Rfam family "5.8S ribosomal RNA", at positions 24 to 154 of the family's 154-position model. Rfam says of the family: 5.8S ribosomal RNA (5.8S rRNA) is a component of the large subunit of the eukaryotic ribosome. It is transcribed by RNA polymerase I as part of the 45S precursor that also contains 18S and 28S rRNA. Lineage: Eukaryota; Viridiplantae; Streptophyta; Magnoliopsida; Amborellales; Amborellaceae. The record is from Rfam by way of RNAcentral.